CUAGCAAUGCCAUUUACUUACGGAUCCUGUCUGGUGGCUUUCUUAUCUUGGUGCUUCUCUGAACUUUGAGUUUUUCGCUGUCAGAGAAGAGAGAGGGUUAGACCAGAGGUUCUCAAAGGUUAGUGUUUGCCCCAUGAUCUUCGGCCAUGUUUGGAGACAAUUCUGGUUUUCACAAGUGAGAGGACGUGUGCUCCUGGCACCUGGUGGGGUGAGGCCAGGGACGCUGCUAAGCAUCGGCCAUGCACGGUACAGUCGCUGCAGGGAUGAAUUAUCUAGCCCCAAAUAGCAUUAGCACUGGGGUUGAGAAGCCCUGGAUCAGACCCGUGUGCUCAUCCAUCACAUUUGUAGUGUAAGUGAAUCCAGAAUUUGUACCCAAUGCCCAAUAUUCCUACCUCGUGUUUUCUUCCAUGAAAAUUCCACAAAUUUCAGUUGGUCCCCAUAGAGGUAUCUCUUUUUCAUCCUUCCCUUUUGACAAGCUCUGGCCCCUCUUGUGGCACCAAUUGCACUCUCUGGCAACUACCUAUUCACCAAUUGCACUCUCUGGCAACUACCUAUUUGUCUUUUGUUCCUGUCAAUGAGUCUUCUUAAUGUUACUAUUGAAUGAAAAUUCAGUAUGGUGGCUUUUUUUAUACAUGGGUCUGAUAGCAUCACUAAGUUUAUUCUCAGAUAGUCCUGAAGGGAAAAAGGCAAAGGAUUUAAAGCUCUUUGACUAAUGAAAGAAUGAGCCUCUGAUACUGGGGGAGGUUCCAGAGCCAACCUGGAGAUGUUCUAGAUGGAGAGUAACAGUCUGUAGCAGUUUUUUUGUGCCCAUUUAAGACUGUUUUACUACAACAUAUGACCUAACAAAUACAAUUUAUUUUUUCUCCUUUUUCUUAGAAGAGGGCCAGAUCUUUUCAUUUAGAAAGUGAAAGGAGGCAGAGAAGCUAAAAGAUCGAAUAAACCUGGGAAAGGAAUCAAGAACACAGUCAUCACAUUUGGUGAUGACAUUAAAUUAAGGAGCAUUGUUACUGCUUUAGAGGAUUUGGAAUAACUUUUAUAUGACCCUGAUCACUUACAAAAGUAGUUUAAUAAAUCAGCAUUUUAUUCUGACUUAGAGGCAAAAUUCCAAAAUCAUAAACAAAGGGUAGAGAAAAAACCAUCUUGGGAAUUAUUUUUCCACUAGCUGAAUAUUGAACAGCAGUAGGAAAGCCAAUGGGAUAUUAGAAAUUGUUAAAAGGUGUCUAAAAAAUUUUAAGUGCAUUUGAUUCCCUGUGGUGUAUAAAGUACCUUCACAUUACUAUCUUCAGCAGCUCUUAUUAAAUAUUGAGAGUUAGGGGUGAUCAUUAUCCCCAUUUUAUAAAUGAAGUGAUUGAGGUUCAGAGAGGUCAUAGAAUUUUUUCCACUGGCACCAAAUGUUAAACAGAAGGCCUGAUUUCAGGCGUGGGCUGUGAACCUCAUAGGCCUCCUGCUCUGCAGACAGCGCCCCCUCAGAACUGCCAUCUAUUGCUGUGAUUUUGAAGUUGGCCUAUGUGUGGUUCACUGCCUUGGAGUAGCACUAUGAUUUGCUCUUCCUUAUUGGUCUUUUAACCAAUUAUAUUAGCCCAGAAACAGUUAUCCUUCGGUGCCGGGAGCCAUUAGCCAAGUAGGUAUGACAAUUUCCUUGCCAGCGUACCCCAUGUUGCUUAGUGGAAGGACUCGUGGAAAUAGGACAUUUUGCAGUGACAUUGCAUGUAGGUGACCUUGCUCAAGGACCAAGGCGGAUCCGAGUUUAGGGCGUUCCCGGUUUAGGACUAUCUGGGUUUAGGGUGGUUCCAGGUUUAAGGUUAUUCCUGCUGGGAAUAGGGCGUAUGCUGCUGCCUGAGUUCCCCUUGAGUUCUCACGGGAUUCAGACAGUAUUUUUUGGGAGACAGAAGCCCAGUGGGUGUGGAUUAGGGCAGAGAACGUGGAUUUCCCCAGAACGUGAUUGUAGACGGCUGGUGUGAGUUCGGGAAUAAAGAGUUGCUGUUUGAAUCUACAAGCUGUGUGGUGGCUCGUGAUUGUGUGCCCAGCCAGAUUGCAGCACUUUGGCUGUGCUUUAUCAGACCCUAGGAUAGACCUCCCUUGGCCACCGUGAACCAGAUUUCAUUUAAGCACCCUAUGCAUGGGUUUCAUUCGAGGGAAGCUUUUCUGGCUAGAUUUUACUUUUUAUUUUGUUUAACGUAUUCUGUACUUUUUGAUUUUUAAAGAAAUAAAUGUAUAUCAGUG
Molecule: long non-coding RNA, 2223 nt
Filed under: Marmota monax (woodchuck)
Lineage: Eukaryota; Metazoa; Chordata; Mammalia; Rodentia; Sciuridae
Source: RNAcentral